AGACGUCUACAUUAGACUACCCGGUAGUCCCAGCCGUAAACUAUGCGCGUUAGGUGUAUCGGUGACCACGAGUCACCGAGGUGCCGAAGGAACCGUGAAACGUGCCGCCUGGGAAGUACGGUCGCAAGGCUGAAACUUAAAGGAAUUGGCGGGGAGCACCACAACGGGUGGAGCCUGCGGUUUAAUUGGACUCAACGCCGGGAAGCUCACCGGAUAAGACAGCGGAAUGAUUGCCGGGCUGAAGACUCUGCAUGACUAGCUG
This 262-nucleotide ribosomal RNA is filed under the name uncultured archaeon. RNAcentral's name for it is "partial 16S ribosomal RNA". It matches the Rfam family "Archaeal small subunit ribosomal RNA", at positions 717 to 982 of the family's 1478-position model. The record is from RNAcentral.